UGCGCAGGCGGCUUAUUAAGUCAGUGGUGAAAUCUCUCGGCUCAACCGAGAAACUGCCAUUGAAACUGAUAAGCUUGAGUGUGGCUGUGGUAGGCGGAAUAUAGCAUGUAGCGGUGAAAUGCUUAGAUAUGCUAUAGAACACCGAUCGCGAAGGCAGCUUACCAAACCAUUACUGACGCUCAUGCACGAAAGCGUGGGGAGCAAACAGGAUUAGAUACCCUGGUAGUC
This 228-nucleotide ribosomal RNA is filed under the name uncultured bacterium. Its description in RNAcentral is "partial 16S ribosomal RNA". It matches the Rfam family "Bacterial small subunit ribosomal RNA", at positions 568 to 795 of the family's 1533-position model. The record is from RNAcentral.